RNAcentral lists this long non-coding RNA (880 nucleotides) under Elaeis guineensis (African oil palm). Its description in RNAcentral is "long non-coding RNA (EGUI_LNC039540)". The record is from RNAcentral. Lineage: Eukaryota; Viridiplantae; Streptophyta; Magnoliopsida; Arecales; Arecaceae.
GCUAAUUGCAGAAUGGUCGAUAUGGGUUUCAGUUCUCCAAUUUCAAAUUUUUCAUACACUGAGGUUAGAAGUAGGUUCACACUAGCUCCUAAGUUAAUAAGGCUCGAUUAAAGGUGAUACCUCCUAUAACAUAUGAAAUCAAAAAAGCACCAGGAUCUUUCAUUUUUUGAGAUAAUGGGUUCAACAGGACUGCACUUACAUCUUUAGAUAGCAUAAUUCUCUCUAUUGUUCUCGGCUCACACUUUUAUGUGCAAAGUUUCUUAAGAAAUUUUGCAUAAGUCGGAACAUGCUGAAUCGCAUCGAGGGAUAAAUUAAUAUGAACUUAUUUGAAUAAUUUCAUUAACUCCUCAUUGCAUGCUCUUUGCUUUUUGUGAGAAGAACCAGCUUUUCGGGCAGAAGGGAAUGGAACUUUAAGUUUAUAUGCCUCGGAUAACUCAUCUGCUAUCUUCUUCUCUUUGUCUUUCUCACUCAAAUUGAAACCAAUAUCAGUACCAGUUUCGAGCUCAGGUUCUUCUAUGUGGUUAGUCUCAGUACUAACAUUGAUGUUCUCAUUUUGGUUAGUAUUAAUACUAGCCUCUCUCAUCAGAUCUUGAUAUGGUCCAUGUCCUUAAGAAUCCUACCACUUUUAAGUUCAGUAAUUGCAUUGACAUUCUCAAAUUGAGGAUUCUCAGGGGGGACAUUGAAUUGAUGAUUACAUUCAGGUGGUUGGUGGAUAGUGGGUGGGUUGUUCCUGGGAUUUGCAAUAGGUUGGCUUGGUAAUUGAUCUGGUUCUCUUCUCAUGAUAGACUCAGCUAACUAUCCUAUUUAUGCUUCUAACCUAAUAAUAAAUUGCUAUUGGGUCAUAAUCAAUUAUUGGAGCUAAUUAAAUCUAUCAUCGGCU